This 200-nucleotide ribosomal RNA is filed under the name uncultured prokaryote. RNAcentral describes it as "partial 16S ribosomal RNA". It matches the Rfam family "Bacterial small subunit ribosomal RNA", at positions 1183 to 1382 of the family's 1533-position model. The record is from RNAcentral.
UGUCAAAUCAUCAUGCCCCUUAUGUCCUGGGCUACACACGUACCACAAUGGCGGAAAACAGAGCGAAGCAAAGCGGCGACGCGGAGCAAAUCGCUAAAAACCGUCUCAGUUCAGAUUGCAGGCUGCAACUCGCCUGCAUGAAGUCGGAAUUGCUAGUAAUCGCGGAUCAGCAUGCCGCGGUGAAUACGUUCCCGGGCCUU